RNAcentral lists this ribosomal RNA (252 nucleotides) under uncultured Mycoplasmataceae bacterium. RNAcentral's name for it is "partial 16S ribosomal RNA". It matches the Rfam family "Bacterial small subunit ribosomal RNA", at positions 524 to 776 of the family's 1533-position model. Lineage: Bacteria; Bacillati; Mycoplasmatota; Mollicutes; Mycoplasmatales; Mycoplasmataceae. The record is from RNAcentral.
UACAUAGGAUGCAAGCGUUAUCCGGAUUUACUGGGCGUAAAACGAGCGCAGGCGGGUUAACAAGUUUGGUAUGAAAGGCUUUUGCUUAACGAAAGUUUGUAUCAAAAACUGUUAAUCUAGAGUGUAGUAGAGAGUUCUGGAAUUCCAUGUGGAGCGGUGGAAUGCGUAGAUAUAUGGAAGAACACCAGUGGCGAAGGCGGCCGCCUGGCCUGUUACUGACGCUGAGGCACGAAAGCGUGGGGAGCAAAUAGG